Molecule: long non-coding RNA, 1596 nt
Organism: Triticum dicoccoides
Lineage: Eukaryota; Viridiplantae; Streptophyta; Magnoliopsida; Poales; Poaceae
Exons: 11
Source: RefSeq, a predicted model, not a curated record
AAUACCUCCUGACGCCUCCUCCCCAUCUCCGAUUCCUCCUCGGCCCGCGAUUCCUUCUCUCCUCGCCGCAUCCCCGUCCCCGUGCCCUUCUCCAAACUCCGCCAUCCCCGUCCCGUACUCCCUCCCUUGGAAAAGAUCAAUUGGAGGAGUAAUUCCGGCUUCAUCCGGUGGUGGCGAUGCCGGAAAAGAUCGAUUUUUUUUCGACGGGAGGAGUAAUUCCGGCUUGAUCCGGUGGUGCCGUUGCCGGAUCCUGCGACGGCGCCGACGCGAGCCACCAAGGGCCGUGGACUCCCUCUCCGGCUGCGAUUCCGCCAAACCCUGUCGUCUCGGCGUCCCAGCGACCAUCUCCGAGGCGGAUAAAAUCGUUUCUUUCGGUAGCAGCCCGAGGAGAAGGCCCGGACAAAUCCUCGGAGCAGUAAGCCCGCCGCUCUAGCACCUUUCCUCACCGCCGUCGUCAUCAAGAUCACAAGAGCAGGACUCUUUGGACGGUGCUGAAGAUUGACCGGUUGGAGUCUAUUGAUUUGGGUAUCCAGGAGUAUCCUAUUAGUUACACGGAGAAUUGAUUGUCAAGAACUAAUUUGGCGGAUUCACGAGGGAAAUAGGUUCUCUUGGUGGUCGGAAUUUUGCAAGAUAUUAAAGAAGCAGUUGAACUUCCCGAGGGAAAGCUCUACUUGCAAAGCUCGGAAGGUGGAUUAGCUGGGGGAGGAACCAAGAAGCUUUAGGCCCAAGAACUUCGUGUGGACCAUGACCUCCUCAGUGUUGCCAAGCACAACAUUCUCCACUGGUAGGCAUUCGUUAACGAGAAGCUUGGCCAAACCCAGUAGGUAUGCGUGGAAUUAUUGAGCUCAGGUUUUUUGGGAUUAAGAUUCUUACACCAAAGGAUCACUAUAUGCCAAGACUUCGAGGAUGAUAAGAGCGGAAGAUUUGGAUUUAAUUGUUAGGCUCGAUGUCUCAAAAUACGACAAGGAAUCAACUGAAAGAGGAACAUGUAUGAAUCGUACGGAAGAACUACUAUAUGCUAUUAAGUUACGUGUUAGCUUCUGAGGGGCUUUUGCUUUCUGUAGCAACUUCAGAAUCUCUGCUUUUACCCAAGCAUCGACAAGUAGCAUGACAUGUCUUUGCCGCCUCCCACUAAAAAGGGAACUAUUGUCAAGUGCAUCAUUCAUCAUGGACUUGGAUCAAAAGAAAAGUAAAGGAUGAUUUACAAGCUCUACGUCGGAAAUUUCUUUUUGAGAUUGUAACAUGCAAGGACAAUGAAAUUCAGCUGCCGUUAGUAACUUCACUAACUUCUUUCGUGCAGAGACAUGGUCUCAUUAAUACUGUCACUUUCAAGGGAAGUGCACUGCAAGAUUCAACUCAAAGGAAUACUUCCAUGGGAAAAAUGUUUCCUUACCGAUAGAGCUAUCUUUUUCUUCUCUUGCUGAUCUAGUGAUAGUUUCUUCCAAGACAUUCAACUGUAAACAAUGUCCGAAAACAGCUGAAACAGUUAUGAAAACGAGCAGUAAGACAUGUACAUUUUUUUUGUCUUUCAUGACGCCUUGGUGAUACUAUCAUCACUCAAUUUCAUCAAGAUGUAAGCUUACCACUUUUAUGACA